This 448-nucleotide ribosomal RNA is filed under the name uncultured bacterium. RNAcentral's name for it is "bacterial SSU rRNA". It matches the Rfam family "Bacterial small subunit ribosomal RNA", at positions 329 to 793 of the family's 1533-position model. The record is from RNAcentral.
CUCCAGACUCCUACGGGAGGCAGCAGUGGGGAAUAUUGCGCAAUGUGGGCAACCCUGACGCAGCAACGCCGCGUGAUUGAAGAAGGCCUUCGGGUUGUAAAGAUCUUUAAACAGGGACGAAGAAAUGACGGUACCUGAAGAAUAAGCUCCGGCUAACUACGUGCCAGCAGCCGCGGUAAUACGGAGGAUGCGAGCGUUAUCCGGAUUUAUUGGGUUUAAAGGGUGCGUAGGCGGAUUUUUAAGUCAGCGGUAAAAUGUCCGGGCUCAACCCGGGCCGGCCGUUGAAACUGGGGAUCUUGAGUGGGCGAGAAGUAUGCGGAAUGCGUGGUGUAGCGGUGAAAUGCAUAGAUAUCACGCAGAACUCCGAUUGCGAAGGCAGCAUACCGGCGCCCAACUGACGCUCAGGCACGAAAGCGUGGGUAUCGAACAGGAUUAGAUACCCUCGUAU